RNAcentral lists this ribosomal RNA (463 nucleotides) under uncultured bacterium. RNAcentral describes it as "partial 16S ribosomal RNA". It matches the Rfam family "Bacterial small subunit ribosomal RNA", at positions 28 to 507 of the family's 1533-position model. The record is from RNAcentral.
GAUGAACGCUGACAGAAUGCUUAACACAUGCAAGUCUUUGGCGAAGCUGUGCUUGCACAGCCUAGCCAAGGCGGACGGGUGAGUAACGCGUAGGGAACUUGCCCUGCAGUCAGGGAUAACAGACGGAAACGACUGAUAAGACCUGGUAAAGUCAGGCGGACUCAUGUCCAGCCUGAUGAAAAGAGAUGCUGCAGGAGAGCCUUGCGUCCUAUUAGCUUGUUGGUGGGGUAACGGCCCACCAAGGCGAUGAUAGGUAGCCGGCCUGAGAGGGUGGACGGCCACAAGGGGACUGAGAUACGGCCCUUACUCCUACGGGAGGCAGCAGUGGGGAAUAUUGGACAAUGGGGGCAACCCUGAUCCAGCAAUUCUGUGUGCACGAUGAAGGUUUUCGGAUUGUAAAGUGCUUUCAGCAGGGAAGAAAAAAAUGACGGUACCUGCAGAAGAAGCGACGGCUAAAUACGUU